RNAcentral lists this transfer RNA (63 nucleotides) under Camelus bactrianus (Bactrian camel). It matches the Rfam family "tRNA". From Rfam's summary of the family: Transfer RNA (tRNA) molecules are approximately 80 nucleotides in length. Their secondary structure includes four short double-helical elements and three loops (D, anti-codon, and T loops). Lineage: Eukaryota; Metazoa; Chordata; Mammalia; Artiodactyla; Camelidae. The record is from Rfam by way of RNAcentral. RNAcentral also lists the same sequence under 2 other names.
GAAGGUAUAGCUGAGUGGUAGAGCAUGUGCUUAAGGCCCUGGGUUCAAUCUCCAGUCCCUCCA